RNAcentral lists this ribosomal RNA (415 nucleotides) under uncultured bacterium. Its description in RNAcentral is "bacterial SSU rRNA". It matches the Rfam family "Bacterial small subunit ribosomal RNA", at positions 28 to 442 of the family's 1533-position model. The record is from RNAcentral.
GAUGAACGCUGGCGGCGUGCUUAACACAUGCAAGUCGAACGGAAAGGCCCUUGCUUGCAAGGGUGCUCGAGUGGCGAACGGGUGAGUAACACGUAAGUGAUCUGCCCUGCACUGGGGGAUAAGCUUGGGAAACUGGGUCUAAUACCCUAUAGGACCGCAUCGUGGUUGGUGUGGUGGAAAGGUUUUUCUGGUGUGGGAUGAGCUUGUGGCCUAUCAGCUUGUUGGUGGGGUAAUGGCCCACCAAGGCGGCGACGGGUAGCCGGCCUGAGAGGGUGUGCGGCCACAUUGGGACUGAGAUACGGCCCAGACUCCUACGGGAGGCAGCAGUGGGGAAUUUUGCACAAUGGGCGGAAGCCUGAUGCAGCGACGCCGUGUGGGGGAUGAAGGCCUUCGGGUUGUAAACUCCUUUCGUCAG